This 484-nucleotide ribosomal RNA is filed under the name uncultured bacterium. RNAcentral describes it as "partial 16S ribosomal RNA". It matches the Rfam family "Bacterial small subunit ribosomal RNA", at positions 30 to 507 of the family's 1533-position model. The record is from RNAcentral.
AUUGAACGCUAGCGGGAUGCUUUACACAUGCAAGUCGAACGGCAGCGCGGACUUCGGUCUGGCGGCGAGUGGCGAACGGGUGAGUAAUGUAUCGGAACGUGCCCAGUAGCGGGGGAUAACUACGCGAAAGCGUGGCUAAUACCGCAUACGCCCUACGGGGGAAAGCAGGGGAUCGUAAGACCUUGCACUAUUGGAGCGGCCGAUAUCGGAUUAGCUAGUUGGUGAGGUAACGGCUCACCAAGGCGACGAUCCGUAGCUGGUUUGAGAGGACGACCAGCCACACUGGGACUGAGACACGGCCCAGACUCCUACGGGAGGCAGCAGUGGGGAAUUUUGGACAAUGGGGGCAACCCUGAUCCAGCCAUCCCGCGUGUGCGAUGAAGGCCUUCGGGUUGUAAAGCACUUUUGGCAGGAAAGAAACGUCGCGGGCUAAUACCCCGUGGAACUGACGGUACCUGCAGAAUAAGCACCGGCUAACUACGUG